Molecule: long non-coding RNA, 348 nt
Filed under: Apteryx rowi (Okarito brown kiwi)
Lineage: Eukaryota; Metazoa; Chordata; Aves; Apterygiformes; Apterygidae
Description: lncRNA (ENSARWG00000008422.1)
Source: RNAcentral
CGGCGCGGUCCCGCAGGGCUUUUCCCGCUUCUUGCUCCCCUGGGCCUGGCUGGGGAGGAAUGCUGUUUCCUGACUGAUUCCUGGUGCCCCCUGCCCGGGCUGAUAAGUAAAUUGCAUCAGAGCUAAUGACGAGUUAAAAGAAAUGUACACUGAUUCCAGAUGCGGAAGUGGUGGCAGGCUCAAAGAGGAAGCACAGCACAAAGCCACGGGGUCCCUUCGUGGAGAUGGAGCCGCUCAGAGAGGAAGAAGGAAAAAAACUGUAAAAGCAUACAUCUCCCCAAACCCCUUCUGCCUAAUCCAACUGAAUUAGAGGAUUUUGAAGUGGAUUUAAAACUAAAUCUUGAUUAG